CAGACUUGGUGAAGUGGUCGUU
This 22-nucleotide unclassified non-coding RNA is filed under the name Dictyostelium discoideum. Lineage: Eukaryota; Evosea; Eumycetozoa; Dictyosteliales; Dictyosteliaceae. The record is from RNAcentral.